This 415-nucleotide unclassified non-coding RNA is filed under the name Hevea brasiliensis (rubber tree). Lineage: Eukaryota; Viridiplantae; Streptophyta; Magnoliopsida; Malpighiales; Euphorbiaceae. The record is from RNAcentral.
GCUUUAUCAACAGCUCCGUCAUAAUUGAUCUUAAUUGUACCAUUAGGAGGGGCAUUCCAAUUCAAUUGGCGUGUUGGAGCAUUCAACGCAUCUGAAUUUGGAGUAAAAAUGGUCCCCAAACUCUGUUGAAAAUUUGCAAAGUGAAUAAUAGCCGACUGAAUGACUUCUUUGAAGGGCACAACUUUGUUCUCAAAGACUAGAGAAUUUAUCGAUUUCUAGAUCUGCCAAAGCCAAAAGACUAGCUUGGCCAUCAGCUCCUUCCCCUCCUGACGCCUCAAAAGAACAGAAUAAAUUUCUUCCCAGCUUUCAACAAAAGAGUUGCCCUGAAUACGAGCUGAUCUGAAUCUGAACUCUGAAUGUAUCCACACUUCAGCUGUUCAGCUGCCCUAGGGCAGUGAAACAAAGAUGGUUCAAG